RNAcentral lists this ribosomal RNA (377 nucleotides) under uncultured bacterium. Its description in RNAcentral is "partial 16S ribosomal RNA". It matches the Rfam family "Bacterial small subunit ribosomal RNA", at positions 338 to 732 of the family's 1533-position model. The record is from RNAcentral.
CCUACGGGUGGCAGCAGUGGGGAAUAUUGCACAAUGGGCGAAAGCCUGAAGCAGCGACGCCGCGUGAGUGAAGACGUAUUUCGGUAUGUAAAGCUCUAUCAGCAGGGGAGAAAAUGACGGUACCUGUCUAAUUAGCCCCGGCUAACUACGUGCCAGCAGCCGCGGGAAUAAGUCGGGCGCCGGCGUUAUCCGGAUUUACUGGGGGUAAAGGGAGCGUAGAGGGGGAAACAAGUGAGAAGGGAAAACCCGGGGCUCAACCCUGGGCGUGCCGUUGAAACUGGUUGGCUGGAGUGCAGGAGAGGUAAGCGGAAUGCCUAGUGUAGCGGUGAAAUGCGUAGAUAUUAGGAAGAACACCAGUGGCGAAGGCGGCUUACCGG